This 882-nucleotide ribosomal RNA is filed under the name Microbacterium sp. CNRB03. Its description in RNAcentral is "bacterial SSU rRNA". It matches the Rfam family "Bacterial small subunit ribosomal RNA", at positions 95 to 989 of the family's 1533-position model. Lineage: Bacteria; Bacillati; Actinomycetota; Actinomycetes; Micrococcales; Microbacteriaceae. The record is from RNAcentral.
GUGGCGAACGGGUGAGUAACACGUGAGCAAUCUGCCCCUGACUCUGGGAUAACAGUUGGAAACAGCUGCUAAUACCGGAUACGAGACGUGACCGCAUGGUCGACGUUUGGAAAGAAUUUCGGUCAGGGAUGAGCUCGCGGCCUAUCAGCUUGUUGGUGAGGUAAUGGCUCACCAAGGCGUCGACGGGUAGCCGGCCUGAGAGGGUGACCGGCCACACUGGGACUGAGACACGGCCCAGACUCCUACGGGAGGCAGCAGUGGGGAAUAUUGCACAAUGGGCGAAAGCCUGAUGCAGCAACGCCGCGUGAGGGACGACGGCCUUCGGGUUGUAAACCUCUUUUAGCAGGGAAGAAGCGAAAGUGACGGUACCUGCAGAAAAAGCGCCGGCUAACUACGUGCCAGCAGCCGCGGUAAUACGUAGGGCGCAAGCGUUAUCCGGAAUUAUUGGGCGUAAAGAGCUCGUAGGCGGUUUGUCGCGUCUGCUGUGAAAACUGGAGGCUCAACCUCCAGCCUGCAGUGGGUACGGGCAGACUAGAGUGCGGUAGGGGAGAUUGGAAUUCCUGGUGUAGCGGUGGAAUGCGCAGAUAUCAGGAGGAACACCGAUGGCGAAGGCAGAUCUCUGGGCCGUAACUGACGCUGAGGAGCGAAAGGGUGGGGAGCAAACAGGCUUAGAUACCCUGGUAGUCCACCCCGUAAACGUUGGGAACUAGUUGUGGGGUCCAUUCCACGGAUUCCGUGACGCAGCUAACGCAUUAAGUUCCCCGCCUGGGGAGUACGGCCGCAAGGCUAAAACUCAAAGGAAUUGACGGGGACCCGCACAAGCGGCGGAGCAUGCGGAUUAAUUCGAUGCAACGCGAAGAACCUUACCAAGGCUUGACAUAU